CCCCAUGUCUGUCUCUCAGUCCCCCUCGGCGAUACCUCCUCCUUAGCUGGGGGAAUAGAUUAAAUAUUCAUGAGCGUGCAUCCAAUGGCAGCGCUGGUCUGGCGUUUUUCUCCCAGGGCAGGAAAUGGAGGCAGAUUCAUGCAUGGGGGUCCCUGCAGGUUGGCAUACAGGGUCAAUUGAAUGGAUGGUUCAAAGGUUACAAAAUCUGUAUGAUGUCCCUCUUCUAUUCUCGCCUGCCCCUGCUUCUGAAGAGGAAAGAUGACCAGAGAGAACGGCUGCUUCAGAAACGAGAAGGUUAAAAAAAAUGGCUCCUACCGGCUUGACUCUGCACCCAAUUAGAUUCUGUUGUUGUGCGGCACGUAAACACAUCAUAUCCUGACGUGUAAACACACACUCACCCGCCCGUCUCACCAGCUAGUUUAUUUUUAAAGAUGGCGGCCAUUCUGAGAAAGAUGUAUGGUAUUGGCAACAAAUUUCACAACUUUUGUUCGUUUCAAGGAUUCUGGAUGGCCCAGGUGAAUUGAGAGAGCCCCCAUCCAAAAGCUUGCAGAAGCCACCCACUUAAGAAACUACAUUCAAGGCUGUCUCAGUGACCUGAGUGAUUGUUGUUUUAUUCCUGUGUGCUUUUAGAGCAUCUUCAUGCGGUCAAAGCUGAAGAACGGAUUGAUCUGUUUGUAUAAGAUACACGCAAAGCCUGAUGAAAUCGGUCUGGCCACGAUGUGACUUUAAAAGUGUUCCUGUAGCAGCAAAAGGAGGAUGCUGGGAACGGGGGGUCAGAGGUUCAGCCGUCAAAGAGGUUCACUGGUGAUGGAUGGCAGUCUGAGCUGCGCACAGCACAUCUACUGUAGCUUUAACCGCCGAAAAGGCCUGCACACAACACAAAUAAAUAAAUAAACACGCACAUCAAAGGAAUUUUCAAAAAGAAAAACAAAGCCAGAGCACGUUCGCAAACUCACACUUACACACACACACACACACACAUACACACCCGUGCCAGAAAAAAAAAUAGCAGUCAAAGGCCUGAAAAUGCACACAUAGUUAACUGCCUGAUAAUGGAAGGCUUGAGGAAAAUAAGACAAAGCGAAACAGAAUGGCGAGAAGUAUACAGUACUUUAUGUGUAAUUCUGGAUUCAGUUUGAAAUGCUGUGAUGAGAUUUUUGCUGAAACUGAUCGAUGCCAUUCUCUCUUGAAGAAUAGUGGACCUUUUUGCAUCCUCUUCCAAAAAGUGUCUGUCAUUGCUGAGGUCAUGACUCGGGACACAAGAAAUGAAACAGUUGAACCACAAUUGGAAUGCCAUCAUAGCGACUGUUAAAUCUGGUUUAUGGAGUAACAUUCUUUUAAUGCCUUUUUAUAAAUGAUCGCUUCUGCUUUAGAGUAAUAAAAAGUUUAAAAUGAAAAAAUAAUGUCACACUGUCAGAUAUGAAGCAAUUAUUGUCGGAAGAAACUGGAUUCCAUUUUGUGUUUGUUUCAGUGUUUGUAUUGUAAUGUACAGGUAUAUGUUAUGUUUACAUCCAUUUCACUGAUUAUCCCUCAUGAAAUCAUGCUGAAAAAACAUCCAUAGAUCUUGUCUUGGCCUGAUCAUAUGUCACACACAAUUUUAGUGAUAAUGCUUUAGUGAGUAGGACAUUAUGGGAUUACCAUUGUCUCUUAGGAAUAAACUGUGGUUCUGUCAGCUUUCCAGUGAUCUUUCUAAAGCAACUGCAAAGCAUAUGAUUCCCUUAUGGUUUGUAAAUGGUGCUUCUGCAUGUAUUUGUUUUCCUUGACCAGAAUCAAGGCCUGGCUAACAAUCCCAGUGUAAGUUCUAAGCAUAGCAUGUUAAACUAGCAUAGACAGGAAGUUCACAUACAAAACUAGUCGCCCAAAAUGUGUCGAUAUUUUCAGCAGAGAUGUUAGCCGAUAGAUUACAGUCAGGGCUUGACAUUAACUUUUUUUGCUCACCAGCCACUGUGGCUAGUAGUGCUAAGUUACUAGCCACUCAGCAUUUUCACUGGCCACAAUUUUGACAUUGAUACCAUGGGGAUAAACUGACAUAUAGAUAUUUUUAUUAUUAUCUCAUAAUUUUGCAGCAGGUAGGACUGUAUUAGGCUGCUGUCACUUUAAGACUUGACGCACCAUUAUACUGUUACACUUUCUCAACUGACUGUGUUUACGUGAAUACUCGCAAAGACCGGCAUUUUGACAAUAUUUUGAGUGUAUUUGACUGUUUAAAGGGUUAGUUCACCCAAAAAGCCAUCCUAGGUGUAUAGCACUAUCU
Long non-coding RNA from Ctenopharyngodon idella (grass carp), 2254 nucleotides. RefSeq lists it as uncharacterized. The transcript has 4 exons. NCBI's taxonomy places the organism in Eukaryota, Metazoa, Chordata, Actinopteri, Cypriniformes, Xenocyprididae. The record is from RefSeq and is a predicted model, not a curated record.